UACGUAGGGUGCAAGCGUUGUCCGGAUUUAUUGGGCGUAAAGAGCUCGUAGGCGGUCUGUCACGUCGGCUGUGAAAUCCCGAGGCUCAACCUCGGGUCUGCAGUCGAUACGGGCAAACUAGAGUAUUGCAGGGGAGACUGGAAUUCCUGGUGUAGCGGUGAAAUGCGCAGAUAUCAGGAGGAACACCGGUGGCGAAGGCGGGUCUCUGGGCAAUAACUGACGCUGAGGAGCGAAAGCGUGGGGAGCGAACAGG
RNAcentral lists this ribosomal RNA (253 nucleotides) under uncultured bacterium. RNAcentral describes it as "partial 16S ribosomal RNA". It matches the Rfam family "Bacterial small subunit ribosomal RNA", at positions 524 to 776 of the family's 1533-position model. The record is from RNAcentral.